This is a long non-coding RNA of Alnus glutinosa, 718 nucleotides long. RefSeq lists it as uncharacterized. The record is from RefSeq and is a predicted model, not a curated record. NCBI's taxonomy places the organism in Eukaryota, Viridiplantae, Streptophyta, Magnoliopsida, Fagales, Betulaceae. The transcript is spliced from 2 exons.
CGUAGCUCAAACAAAUCACAAAAGCACAUAGGAAGAAGAAUAUUGCUUUCAUUUUAGAUCCAUUUGUUAUGACUUUUGGGGACUCCAAACAGAACGUGAGAAAAUCUAUAGAGACUGUUUGGAUUUCUUAAGAGCCAAGCAGAACAAUAAAUUAAUGGCCCAUUGACCCUAGUUUAUCAUUACCAUUUGGUGCAAUUGAGGGAAAACAUGGCCAACAUUCAAAAGUUUGUUCAUGUUUUUCUGUGUGCCAACCUCUUCGUCUUCGUCCACUUUACUUGCGCAGGAGUACUCUACGCCGAAGGCUGUGAGACAUAUAAUGAAAAGUGCAGGACAUGUUGGAGAGCAAGCCAUACGUGGUCGGGUAUUUGUGUUAAUGGUCACGUAUGUGCUAAGGCAUGCAAGGAGUGGGAGUCUGCAAUCGAUGGACAUUGUUCAUGGUUCAAAUGCCUUUGCUCCAUCUUGUACUGUUUUUAAUUGACAAGACAUGCUCGAUAUAGGAUGAAAGGCAAGCAAAUCAAAGAAACUUCUCAUAUAUAUGGCCCUGCCGAGGGGAUCGGGUCGGUCAACUUCUUAUUGUUUGAUUAUACUUCUACAAUGUUAUAGUCGUUUUUGGUCCUUUAUUGGGGAGCUCACCUAUUCUAAGUGUUUUAAUUUGAUCCUUUGUAACCAUUUCCUAAUUUGAUCAGGAAAAAAACACAUAAAAUGAAAUUUCUAUCUA